RNAcentral lists this long non-coding RNA (1463 nucleotides) under Chinchilla lanigera (long-tailed chinchilla). RNAcentral's name for it is "lncRNA (ENSCLAG00000027010.1)". Lineage: Eukaryota; Metazoa; Chordata; Mammalia; Rodentia; Chinchillidae. The record is from RNAcentral.
GGAGCCGAAGCCUUCAUUUUUCGCCUUUGUUAAGAAGAAAGCCUUCCCAAAAGUUUAAAGAUUUUUUUCUUCCCAAAAGCCACGCUUCUCAAAGGAAAUAGAGUUUGACUCGACCUGACCGGUUGACAGGAAUCAAGCCCUGACCAUCACCAGACUCCAGUGCUUCAUCCCGCGCUUCAGGAUGUUGGGUCUAUGAAGAGCCAUCAGCUUCAAAUGCUUCCUAAGCAAUCACCCCGCGGGGCACCUUGCAGCCCCACCCACGUCCCCACCGUCCCUUCCCAUCACUGCCUCUGGUCAAUCAAAAAGAAGAGGCAGCCUCUCUUGUGCCACUUGUCAUGAAACCGCUUCUCCAGCCUUGACUCCAUCACCUUUGUCAGCCAUGUCAUCCUCAGCGAGGUGGGUUUGCUGGUCUCGCUCGCUUCACGUGAAUUGGAGCUUCACAGUGACGGCUUGCUCAGGUGACUUGUGCUGGGGUUUAAGGAAGCUCUGCAACACCAACAGAUGCCUGUCUUUCUUUCCUUCUCAGCAACAGCUUUUUUUUCCUUCCUGCUUUUUUAUUAGUGCAUAUCAAUGGCACAGAGUAAUGGUUUUCCUUCUGGCAGAUCUUACACGCACAUACUACAUUUUAACACGUCCCCCUCACCACCCCGUCACCUUACGCGCCCUCCCCAGCUGCACAUAAGAUACCUGGUUUGUGUUCAUGCUUCCUACUACCUACUUUUAGACUCCCUGCCCCUUCCUCCUUUCCCUUGUCUCACAAUCAUCUCCCUUCUACUUUCUUGUCAUCUUUAUUAGAUUCCCCAAAGAUGCUUUUCAUCAGACACUUUGAUACCCACCACCUGCCAGCAGGUUCCUGGGUUGACCCACUGCUGAUGCCUCUGUGCUGAAGGGUUGAACUGCUGGUUGCUGCCUCCCUUGUUUAAAUGAUGGCUGCUGUCCCCCUUAUGAUAAGGUACCUGCCCCAUCAGUAGCUAUCUGUGGUAGGCACUGGAAUGAGACCCAUAUAGCCAUCAUUUAUUAGCUCUAUGAGCUUGCACUGGUCACUUAACCCUCGGAACCUUAAUUUCCCUUUCUGAAAAACAGCAAUGGUGCUGAUACAGGCUCUGCUGUCUGCCACUGGUUGGGUGGACUGAGGUAAGAGGGGUAGAAAGGACUGGGAAAGGGCUAGGCUUGGCCACAAGCCGUCAUUGGCAGCGGUGUGCAGAACCUGUACGGCUUAUGGUGAACACACACAAAAUGUGUCCCUAAGGAUGAAGGGGGUCGGGGAGUGCAUCCUUCUGAUGGCCCGAAACCCGCUCUGCAGAGAGAUGAACUACAAAUACAGCAAAGUCCGUGCAGGGCUGCUCUAUGCAAUCUGUUCAGCAUAAGGUUCUGGCAAAUUACUCAGUAUGUCCAGACCUCUGUUUCCCCGUGUGCUACAUAAAGAGAUUGGGUGAAUGAUCGCCUCCUUGGCUCCAUCUUUC